RNAcentral lists this ribosomal RNA (2929 nucleotides) under Escherichia coli. Its description in RNAcentral is "bacterial LSU rRNA". It matches the Rfam family "Bacterial large subunit ribosomal RNA". The record is from RNAcentral. Lineage: Bacteria; Pseudomonadati; Pseudomonadota; Gammaproteobacteria; Enterobacterales; Enterobacteriaceae.
GGGUUGUGAGGUUAAGCGACUAAGCGUACACGGUGGAUGCCCUGGCAGUCAGAGGCGAUGAAGGACGUGCUAAUCUGCGAUAAGCGUCGGUAAGGUGAUAUGAACCGUUAUAACCGGCGAUUUCCGAAUGGGGAAACCCAGUGUGUUUCGACACACUAUCAUUAACUGAAUCCAUAGGUUAAUGAGGCGAACCGGGGGAACUGAAACAUCUAAGUACCCGAGGAAAAGAAAUCAACCGAGAUUCCCCCAGUAGCGGCGAGCGAACGGGGAGGAGCCCAGAGCCUGAAUCAGUGUGUGUGUUAGUGGAAGCGUCUGGAAAGGCGCGCGAUACAGGGUGACAGCCCCGUACACAAAAAUGCACAUGCUGUGAGCUCGAUGAGUAGGGCGGGACACGUGGUAUCCUGUCUGAAUAUGGGGGGACCAUCCUCCAAGGCUAAAUACUCCUGACUGACCGAUAGUGAACCAGUACCGUGAGGGAAAGGCGAAAAGAACCCCGGCGAGGGGAGUGAAAAAGAACCUGAAACCGUGUACGUACAAGCAGUGGGAGCACAGAGCAAUCUGUGUGACUGCGUACCUUUUGUAUAAUGGGUCAGCGACUUAUAUUCUGUAGCAAGGUUAACCGAAUAGGGGAGCCGAAGGGAAACCGAGUCUUAACUGGGCGUUAAGUUGCAGGGUAUAGACCCGAAACCCGGUGAUCUAGCCAUGGGCAGGUUGAAGGUUGGGUAACACUAACUGGAGGACCGAACCGACUAAUGUUGAAAAAUUAGCGGAUGACUUGUGGCUGGGGGUGAAAGGCCAAUCAAACCGGGAGAUAGCUGGUUCUCCCCGAAAGCUAUUUAGGUAGCGCCUCGUGAAUUCAUCUCCGGGGGUAGAGCACUGUUUCGGCAAGGGGGUCAUCCCGACUUACCAACCCGAUGCAAACUGCGAAUACCGGAGAAUGUUAUCACGGGAGACACACGGCGGGUGCUAACGUCCGUCGUGAAGAGGGAAACAACCCAGACCGCCAGCUAAGGUCCCAAAGUCAUGGUUAAGUGGGAAACGAUGUGGGAAGGCCCAGACAGCCAGGAUGUUGGCUUAGAAGCAGCCAUCAUUUAAAGAAAGCGUAAUAGCUCACUGGUCGAGUCGGCCUGCGCGGAAGAUGUAACGGGGCUAAACCAUGCACCGAAGCUGCGGCAGCGACACUGUGUGUUGUUGGGUAGGGGAGCGUUCUGUAAGCCUGUGAAGGUGUGCUGUGAGGCAUGCUGGAGGUAUCAGAAGUGCGAAUGCUGACAUAAGUAACGAUAAAGCGGGUGAAAAGCCCGCUCGCCGGAAGACCAAGGGUUCCUGUCCAACGUUAAUCGGGGCAGGGUGAGUCGACCCCUAAGGCGAGGCCGAAAGGCGUAGUCGAUGGGAAACAGGUUAAUAUUCCUGUACUUGGUGUUACUGCGAAGGGGGGACGGAGAAGGCUAUGUUGGCCGGGCGACGGUUGUCCCGGUUUAAGCGUGUAGGCUGGUUUUCCAGGCAAAUCCGGAAAAUCAAGGCUGAGGCGUGAUGACGAGGCACUACGGUGCUGAAGCAACAAAUGCCCUGCUUCCAGGAAAAGCCUCUAAGCAUCAGGUAACAUCAAAUCGUACCCCAAACCGACACAGGUGGUCAGGUAGAGAAUACCAAGGCGCUUGAGAGAACUCGGGUGAAGGAACUAGGCAAAAUGGUGCCGUAACUUCGGGAGAAGGCACGCUGAUAUGUAGGUGAAGUCCCUCGCGGAUGGAGCUGAAAUCAGUCGAAGAUACCAGCUGGCUGCAACUGUUUAUUAAAAACACAGCACUGUGCAAACACGAAAGUGGACGUAUACGGUGUGACGCCUGCCCGGUGCCGGAAGGUUAAUUGAUGGGGUCAGCGCAAGCGAAGCUCUUGAUCGAAGCCCCGGUAAACGGCGGCCGUAACUAUAACGGUCCUAAGGUAGCGAAAUUCCUUGUCGGGUAAGUUCCGACCUGCACGAAUGGCGUAAUGAUGGCCAGGCUGUCUCCACCCGAGACUCAGUGAAAUUGAACUCGCUGUGAAGAUGCAGUGUACCCGCGGCAAGACGGAAAGACCCGUGAACCUUUACUAUAGCUUGACACUGAACAUUGAGCCUUGAUGUGUAGGAUAGGUGGGAGGCUUUGAAGUGUGGACGCCAGUCUGCAUGGAGCCGACCUUGAAAUACCACCCUUUAAUGUUUGAUGUUCUAACGUGGACCCGUGAUCCGGGUUGCGGACAGUGUCUGGUGGGUAGUUUGACUGGGGCGGUCUCCUCCUAAAGAGUAACGGAGGAGCACGAAGGUUGGCUAAUCCUGGUCGGACAUCAGGAGGUUAGUGCAAUGGCAUAAGCCAGCUUGACUGCGAGCGUGACGGCGCGAGCAGGUGCGAAAGCAGGUCAUAGUGAUCCGGUGGUUCUGAAUGGAAGGGCCAUCGCUCAACGGAUAAAAGGUACUCCGGGGAUAACAGGCUGAUACCGCCCAAGAGUUCAUAUCGACGGCGGUGUUUGGCACCUCGAUGUCGGCUCAUCACAUCCUGGGGCUGAAGUAGGUCCCAAGGGUAUGGCUGUUCGCCAUUUAAAGUGGUACGCGAGCUGGGUUUAGAACGUCGUGAGACAGUUCGGUCCCUAUCUGCCGUGGGCGCUGGAGAACUGAGGGGGCUGCUCCUAGUACGAGAGGACCGGAGUGGACGCAUCACUGGUGUUCGGGUUGUCAUGCCAAUGGCACUGCCCGGUAGCUAAAUGCGGAAGAGAUAAGUGCUGAAAGCAUCUAAGCACGAAACUUGCCCCGAGAUGAGUUCUCCCUGACCCUUUAAGGGUCCUGAAGGAACGUUGAAGACGACGACGUUGAUAGGCCGGGUGUGUAAGCGCAGCGAUGCGUUGAGCUAACCGGUACUAAUGAACCGUGAGGCUUAACCUUACAACGCCGAAGGUGUUU